Lolium perenne is the source of this 1017-nucleotide long non-coding RNA. RefSeq lists it as uncharacterized. The record is from RefSeq and is a predicted model, not a curated record. Lineage: Eukaryota; Viridiplantae; Streptophyta; Magnoliopsida; Poales; Poaceae.
GGCCCUAGACUAAACACGCCGCCCUCACUCUCAUCCCACACACUAAAAAAGUCGUACGCACUUCCUUACUCUCUGUGUCUCCCAAAACGCCGGCGACCAUACCCCAGCUCCCCUGCCUCGCCGACGCUGGCCUCAACGACCGUCUCCUCCUUCCUCUUCCUCCAGGAGACCGGAGACCAGGUGGCACUCACCGAAGGCCAGGUGACCCAGUGGGAGGCGCCAACAGAGGUGGAGGGGCAGACCUCGUCUCCACCGGAUCCGCAGCCGCGGCCACCGUCACCAGAUCCGCAAUCGAGCGGGGAUGAAGGGCGCUAAAUUGGCAGCUGGAACAGGCCAUCGGCGGCGGCAGACCACUCUUUUUAUAGGUGGAAUUGUUGUAGAAGUGUAGGGGGCUUGCUGCAAUGCUGUUACUCUGUUAUGGUUCUCAAUUAAGCUGCUACUCCUCUCGAGCUAAGCAGGUCAGAGGAAGAAGUCGAACCUGAAGAAAGUGCAGCUGUACGCGUGUGGCGGGAGCCUGUCUCCGUUGACGGGACGUUCAGCCGGGCGCGGGUGCCGGUGGGAGCCCAUCCACUCGUUCAGCAACGUGGAGUGCAGCCUCCCGUGGAGGCUAUGGCGUUGCUCUUGUGUCACGGGAGCGGGCAGCACCAGGAGUGCUGCGGCGUGGGCGGAGGUGCCGACGCGAGCCUGUCCCUUCAUUCAGGGGACGUGCAGGGCGGCCUGCCAUGGAGGCUGUGGCGGAUCUCUUGUGGGACGGCAGCGGGCGGCUGUCGGCGGGCCAGAAAGUGCUGCGGCGGCGAGCGGGAUGCGGUGGCGGUGAGGGGAGAGUGGUAUUGGGCUGUUGUUUUGUUCAACCGUUUUUUUAUUGUGGGAGAUGUCUCGCGUGGGUGGGUUGGCUUGAUUCGAUCGUGGGUGUUGUCCGCUCCAUCAAACAUGAAGAGCCUGUGGGUCCUUGGAUCUUGUAAUUGUACGGUGUGGAUUGUCCGGAUCAGCCCCUCUGGGGCUUUUAUUAGUAGUAGA